GGGUGCCUGAUUCUGUCCGGAUCAGGCUAUAUACUCCCUGUUCCGGCCAGAAAAAAGCCCCGGUUACGUUUUUCAACAUAAACCGAGGCCGAAUCUCUACCUGAACAAUAGGGAUUUUGCCUCCUUCACUUUUAGGAGUCAAGAGAA
RNAcentral lists this antisense RNA (147 nucleotides) under Morganella psychrotolerans. RNAcentral describes it as "sok antitoxin (CssrC)". It matches the Rfam family "sok antitoxin (CssrC)". From Rfam's summary of the family: Also identified in Shigella as CssrC. Lineage: Bacteria; Pseudomonadati; Pseudomonadota; Gammaproteobacteria; Enterobacterales; Morganellaceae. The record is from RNAcentral.